GCAAACUUGGUCAUUUAGAGGAAGUAAAAGUCGUAACAAGGUUUCCGUAGGUGAACCUGCGGAAGGAUCAUUAUUGAAACAAAAUCAAGUAGACUGUUGCUGGUUUCCUCUCAGAAGCAUGUGCACGUCUAUUUCAUUUUCAAUCCUCCUGUGCACUAUCGGUGGAUCUUUUCACUGCAAUACAACAAACAAUUAUUUUUGCUUCAAAGAAAUUUAUGUUCUUUGGUCAGAGAGGUCCUGCUGUCUAAUGUAUGCUCAUUACAGCUCUUCUUGUCAAUGUUGUUUUUGUUUUGCUCUGGAAGAUCUCGCCGUUUUACCAUCAACACUGUUGUCUCAGAAUGUUUUGUGAUGUCAAAUAAUGAUAAUAUAACUUUCAACAACGGAUCUCUUGGCUCUCGCAUCGAUGAAGAACGCAGC
RNAcentral lists this unclassified non-coding RNA (417 nucleotides) under uncultured fungus. RNAcentral describes it as "partial contains small subunit ribosomal RNA, internal transcribed spacer 1, and 5.8S ribosomal RNA". The stretch from base 1 to 73 matches the Rfam family "Eukaryotic small subunit ribosomal RNA", at positions 1759 to 1831 of the family's 1831-position model. Lineage: Eukaryota; Fungi. The record is from RNAcentral.